Molecule: ribosomal RNA, 253 nt
Filed under: uncultured bacterium
Lineage: Bacteria
Description: partial 16S ribosomal RNA
Rfam family: Bacterial small subunit ribosomal RNA
Source: RNAcentral
UACGUAGGGUGCAAGCGUUGUCCGGAAUUAUUGGGCGUAAAGAGCUCGUAGGCGGUUUGUCGCGUCUUCUGUGAAAACCCGAGGCUCAACCUCGGGCCUGCAGUGGGUACGGGCAGACUAGAGUGCGGUAGGGGAGAUUGGAAUUCCUGGUGUAGCGGUGGAAUGCGCAGAUAUCAGGAGGAACACCGGUGGCGAAGGCGGUUCUCUGGGCAUUACCUGACGCUGAGGAGCGAAAGUGUGGGGAGCGAACAGG